RNAcentral lists this ribosomal RNA (198 nucleotides) under uncultured Lactobacillus sp. RNAcentral's name for it is "partial 16S ribosomal RNA". It matches the Rfam family "Bacterial small subunit ribosomal RNA", at positions 335 to 526 of the family's 1533-position model. Lineage: Bacteria; Bacillati; Bacillota; Bacilli; Lactobacillales; Lactobacillaceae. The record is from RNAcentral.
ACUCUUACGGGAGGCAGCAGUAGGGAAUCUUCCACAAUGGACGCAAGUCUGAUGGAGCAACGCCGCGUGAGUGAAGAAGGUUUUCGGAUCGUAAAGCUCUGUUGUUGUGAAGAAGGAUAGAGGUAGUAACUGGCCUUUAUUUGACGGUAAUCAACCAGAAAGUCACGGCUAACUACGUGCCAGCAGCCGCGGUAAUAC